RNAcentral lists this unclassified non-coding RNA (348 nucleotides) under soil metagenome. RNAcentral describes it as "partial contains 5.8S ribosomal RNA, internal transcribed spacer 2, and large subunit ribosomal RNA". The stretch from base 1 to 120 matches the Rfam family "5.8S ribosomal RNA", at positions 35 to 154 of the family's 154-position model. The record is from RNAcentral.
GAUGAAGAACGCAGCGAAAUGCGAUAAGUAAUGUGAAUUGCAGAAUUCAGUGAAUCAUCGAAUCUUUGAACGCACAUUGCGCCCGCCAGUAUUCUGGCGGGCAUGCCUGUCUGAGCGUCAUUUCAACCCUCAUGCCCCUAGGGCGUGGUGUUGGGGAUCGGCCAAAGCCCGCGAGGGACGGCCGGCCCCUAAAUCUAGUGGCGGACCCGUCGUGGCCUCCUCUGCGAAGUAGUGAUAUUCCGCAUCGGAGAGCGAUGAGCCCCUGCCGUUAAACCCCCAACUUUCCAAGGUUGACCUCAGAUCAGGUAGGAAUACCCGCUAAACUUAAGCAUAUCAAUAAGCGGAGGA